ACUGCUAUCGGGGUGGGACUAAGACAUGCGAGUCGAGCGUCUCUAGCUAUGUUGAGACGCGGCAUACGGCUCAGUAACACGUGGCUAACCUACCCUCAGGACGGGGACAACCCCGGGAAACUGGGGCUAAUAUCCGAUAGGCGAGGAAUCCUGGAAUGGUUUCUCACCUAAAGGGCUUUGAAAACAUGCUUUCUCUGUCGCCUGGGGAUGGGGCCGCGUCCGAUCAGGUUGUUGGUGAGGUAAUGGCUCACCAAGCCUAUAACCGGUACGGGCCGUGAGAGCGGUAGCCCGGAGAUGGGUACUGAGACAAGGACCCAGGCCCUACGGGGCGCAGCAGUCGCGAAAACUCCGCAAUGCACGAAAGUGUGACGGGGCUACCCCGAGUGCCGUCCGCUGAGGAUGGCUUUUCCCUGGUGUAACUAGCCGGGGGAAUAAGGAGAGGGCAAGACUGGUGUCAGCCGCCGCGGUAAUACCAGCUCUCCGAGUGGUAGGGAUGUUUAUUGGGCUUAAAGCGUCCGUAGCCGGCUUAGCAAGUUUCCUGUUAAAUUCAGCGACUUAAUCGUUGGUCCGCGGGAAAUACUACUAGGCUAGGAGGCGGGAGAGGUCAACGGUACUUCUGGGGUAGGGGUGAAAUCCUAUAAUCCCGGGAGGACCACCAGUGGCGAAGGCUGUUGACUAGAACGCGCUCGACGGUGAGGGACGAAAGCUGGGGGAGCGAACCGGAUUAGAUACCCGGGUAGUCCCAGCUGUAAACGAUGCGGGCUAGGUGUUGGGGUGGCUACGUGCCACUUCAGUGCCGCAGGGAAGCCAUUAAGCCCGCCGCCUGGGGAGUACGGCCGCAAGGCUGAAACUUAAAGGAAUUGGCGGGGGAGCACCACAAGGCGUGAAG
Molecule: ribosomal RNA, 889 nt
Filed under: uncultured archaeon
Lineage: Archaea
Description: bacterial SSU rRNA
Rfam family: Archaeal small subunit ribosomal RNA
Source: RNAcentral